Molecule: non-coding RNA, 269 nt
Organism: Pimephales promelas (fathead minnow)
Lineage: Eukaryota; Metazoa; Chordata; Actinopteri; Cypriniformes; Leuciscidae
Source: RefSeq, a predicted model, not a curated record
GGCCACAGCGCCCCCUACCGGCGCGGAAGAAACAUCAUGAGCGACUUUUUGACUUGGUUAGGCCUAUUCACUAACUUCCACAAUGAAACAAAUCAUCAUCAUUCAUUUUGUCACGAAAAAUAGCAACGACACCUAAAAUACACCCAAGAGCAAGCAUAGGAGGCAUCUGAAGAGCACAGUUCUGUUCAAAAGUUUGCUGUCGUUUUUCUGUACUAUGAAGAGGAAAAGGCUUGAAUAAAGACAGGACAUGGAAGGUGCAGAACACAAGU